RNAcentral lists this ribosomal RNA (253 nucleotides) under uncultured prokaryote. Its description in RNAcentral is "partial 16S ribosomal RNA". It matches the Rfam family "Bacterial small subunit ribosomal RNA", at positions 525 to 777 of the family's 1533-position model. The record is from RNAcentral.
ACGUAGGGUGCGAGCGUUAAUCGGAGUUACUGGGCGUAAAGCGUGCGCAGGCGGUUUUGUAAGUCAGAUGUGAAAGCCCCGGGCUCAACCUGGGAACUGCGUUUGAAACUACAAGGCUAGAGUGUAGCAGAGGGGGGUAGAAUUCCACGUGUAGCAGUGAAAUGCGUAGAGAUGUGGAGGAAUACCAAUGGCGAAGGCAGCCCCCUGGGUUAACACUGACGCUCAUGCACGAAAGCGUGGGGAGCAAACAGGA